RNAcentral lists this ribosomal RNA (244 nucleotides) under uncultured bacterium. RNAcentral's name for it is "partial 16S ribosomal RNA". It matches the Rfam family "Bacterial small subunit ribosomal RNA", at positions 524 to 766 of the family's 1533-position model. The record is from RNAcentral.
GACGAACCGUGCGAACGUUGUUCGGAAUCACUGGGCUUAAAGGGCGCGUAGGCGGGUCACCAAGUCCGGGGUGAAAUCUUUCGGCUCAACCGGAAAAGGGCCUUGGAUACUGGUGACCUGGAGGAAGGUAGGGGCAUGCGGAACUUCCGGAUGGAGCGGUGAAAUGCGUUGAUAUCGGAAGGAACGCCGGUGGCGAAAGCGGCGUGCUGGACCUUUGCUGACGCUGAGGCGCGAAAGCCAGGGG